UGAGGAAUAUUGGUCAAUGGGCGAGAGCCUGAACCAGCCAAGUAGCGUGAAGGAUGAAGGUCCUAUGGAUUGUAAACUUCUUUUAUAGUAGAAUAAAGUGAGCCACGUGUGGUUUUUUGUAUGUAUACUAUGAAUAAGGAUCGGCUAACUCCGUGCCAGCAGCCGCGGUAAUACGGAGGAUCCGAGCGUUAUCCGGAUUUAUUGGGUUUAAAGGGUGCGUAGGCGGAAUAAUAAGUCAGUUGUGAAAGUUUGCGGCUCAACCGUAAAAUUGCAGUUGAUACUGUUAUGCUUGAGUGUACAUAAGGUAGGCGGAAUUCGUGGUGUAGCGGUGAAAUGCUUAGAUAUCACGAAGAACUCCAAUUGCGAAGGCAGCUUACCGGGGUACAACUGACGCUGAGGCACGAAAGUGUGGGUAUCAAACA
Molecule: ribosomal RNA, 422 nt
Filed under: uncultured prokaryote
Description: bacterial SSU rRNA
Rfam family: Bacterial small subunit ribosomal RNA
Source: RNAcentral